RNAcentral lists this transfer RNA (56 nucleotides) under Arabis alpina (gray rockcress). It matches the Rfam family "tRNA", at positions 1 to 55 of the family's 71-position model. Rfam says of the family: Transfer RNA (tRNA) molecules are approximately 80 nucleotides in length. Their secondary structure includes four short double-helical elements and three loops (D, anti-codon, and T loops). Lineage: Eukaryota; Viridiplantae; Streptophyta; Magnoliopsida; Brassicales; Brassicaceae. The record is from Rfam by way of RNAcentral.
UCCGAUAUGGUCUAGUGGCUAGGAUACCUGGCUCUCACCCAGGAGGCUCGGGUUCG